Long non-coding RNA from Pan troglodytes (chimpanzee), 2976 nucleotides. RefSeq lists it as uncharacterized. Lineage: Eukaryota; Metazoa; Chordata; Mammalia; Primates; Hominidae. The transcript is spliced from 2 exons. The record is from RefSeq and is a predicted model, not a curated record.
GGAGCCCUCCCAGGGCUCAGACCCCAGCCUGAAACUCUCCCAGCACUCCAAAAGCCAAAUCCCACCCAGCUCUGGGCUGCUUCGUGGGGCCCCAGACUGGAGAAGACGCCCCACAAAGGGUCUCUAAGGAAGAGGCGGCUGGUGGUCAGGCCUGGGCAGCUGUGGGAGCUGAGAGUUUAAUGGGGAGAACGUGCUGUGUUGGCUUCACGCUCCAACAUCAGGGGGAACCAGCUGCACCGUUUCCCCAGAAUCACGGUCUCUUGAGCCCAAUGUUCAAAUAUAUGCAGACGUCGGAGCCUGGACUAUUUUUAGCUGAGACUCAGAGGGAGAUGAUCUCAGGCUGACUCGGAGAGUGGCCCAGUCCCAGAGGAGCGCAGAAUCAACCUGAAAAGUCAGGCUUGGGGACCACCCCCUUCUCCUGCUGUAAGCGCCUGGAUUCUGCACCCCAGGUGCCCUGAAGGGAUUUCUUCCCUGUGUGUCCCUGGGCCCUCUUCUGAUAAGGACACCAGUCAUUGGACUUAAGGCCUACACUAAUCCAGUCUGGCCUCAUCUCAAAUUGACGAACAUCAGCACACACCCUAUUUCCAAGUAAGAUCCUAUUCACAGGCACCAGGGGUGCCUUCAAUGCAUCUUUUGGGGGGAACACAAUUCAACCCACAGCAUCUUCUGUGUUGUUCUGCCCAAGGACAGCCACCCCCCCAGCAGCCGCGGUGAGAAGUUCCCCCAGGUUUGGGGUUUCCAAUCUUGGGUGGCAGCAGGCUGGGAGCCAGGAUCCGCUUGAGCCUUACUGUGCUCUCCUGCUAGGAGGGGCGGCAGCUCCUUGCCCCUGGAGACAGCGCGGCUCCCCAGAGCAGCUGAGUGUCUUGCAGUCAUCAACAGCCACCUCAUCUCAGAGGCAGCACCUGGAAUCUUACCUGCCUUACCUCCUUUAGUCCUCAAAACACCUGUGUCCCAGGAUUAUGUCCCUUAUUCUACAGAGGAGGAAGCUGAAGUGCAAACUAAGAGGAAGUUCCGAAGCAGCAGGUUGGGGUGCCGGGUGCCAGCCUGGCGAGGAGCUCGGGGCUCUCGCGAGGACCGUGACGGGGCUUUCACCCCAUCUUCCCUUCUGAGUCGGGCUUGUCGGGAUGGGGUGGUGGGGUCUGCACCUGCACAGCCAAGGAGGAGCAGGGCAGCCUCACCCUAGCACAGUCCUGAAGAGGGCCCCGCCCCCUUUAAGGGAAUACGUCCAUUCCCUUUUAGAGAGUGCUAGGCCGAUACUUGGAGGAGCCAGUGUGGUCGGGCAGAAAGGGGUACUUGGAGGAGCCAGUGUGGUCGGGCAGAAAGGGGUGGACAAACCUAAACCCUACGGGCCUCUUUUUUGAGACCCCAAACUGCCUGGGCUCUUGCCUCCCAGAAGUCAGAUCUUCCCCAGGGGAGGGUGUGGGAAGGUGGGGUUAGGGAACAUACGGGGUCUUUGGGAGCCUUCUAAGAGCCAAGGCAGUUGGGGCAGCUGCAGGGCCAGAGCACAGGGAAGGCAGGUCCACCAGGUCUAGCUGCUCGGCCUCCAGCCCCGCCAGGCCCAGCUAAGAGGGUGCUUUGGCUGCCAAGAGAAGAACCCGGGGUGGGGACUGCCUCCUGGGCCUCCACAGGCAGCUGGCCUCCUACAGUCCUGCUGGGACCUGGGACCCCGUCCUCUCUGCUGCCCUCCAGCUUCCCUGGCUGUGAGGGACAGAACUUGUUACCAGCCUCCCACUCAUGUUAUUUCUCCUGCCCUUGAACUUCAGGACUGUCUUGGAGCCAGCCGAGGCCUGUUUGCAUCCUUUGUCCCCAGGUCCAGCUGGAUCCCCCACCUUUUCCUCCACUGGAUUCAGCCUAGUGGGCCCUGGGCUGCAAGAGAAGUUGCUUCAGCCCAGGGGCUGGGGCUGGAGGCCAAGGCUUCAAAUGAGGCCUCCCCAAGUUGGUACUCAACCUCCUCUCCCUCCUUGGAGGGCAAAGCCACGAGGGCUGCAGAGAGGAGCUAGCCAGGUAUGAUGGGUAAGUGCAGUGGUUCACAGUAGAACCACACUAGACACAUAGAGGAGUGCUUUAUGAAAUGCUGAUGCCCAGCUGGGUGUGGUGGCUCACACCUGUAAUCCCAGCACUUGGGGAGGCCGAGGUGGGAGGAUCACUUGAGCCUAGGAGUUUGAGACAAGUCUGGGCAACAUAGUGAGACCCCCCCUACCCCCAUCUCUGUAAAAAAAAAUUAGCCAGGUUUGGUGACGCAUGCCUGUGGUCCCAGCUACUCAGGAGGCUGAGGUGGGAAGAUUGCUUGAGCCCAGAAGUUUGAGGGCUCCAGCCUGUGUGACAGAGUGAGAUCCUGACUCUAAAAAUAGGAUUUUUUUUUUUUUUUUUUGAGAUGGAGUCUCAACCUCCACCUCCUGGGCUCAAGUGAUUCUCCUGCCUCAGCCUGCCGAGUAGCUGGGAUUACAGGCACGCACCACCAUGCCCAGCUAAUUUUUGUAUUUUUAGUACAGACGGGGGUUUCACCAUGUUGGCCAGGCUGGUCUCGAACUCCUGACUUCAAAUGAUCUGCCUACGUCGGCCUCCCGAAGUUCUGGGAUUACAGACAUGAGCCACCCUGCCUAGAUAUUUUGGUUUUUGGUUUAAUUGGCUCCUCAGGUGAGUCCACGGGCUGAGGGGCUUCAUCACACCUGUUUCCUCACCUGUGAGUGGGGAGGGGUGGUCACCUGGCAGGGUGGUGGUGAGGCCGGCCCGUGCCUGCCCUUCCCUCCACUGUUCAGAGUUGGGCCAGGGCUGAAGGAGGCGUGGCCAGCUUCAGAGGAAGGUGUGGGAGCCGCAGCUCUGCCUGGCACUGACAUCUGGGCUGCAAAUUCUUUCCAGUUCUCAACUUCUCCCCCACUACUGCCAGCCAGCCCCUCCAGCUUCAUUUAAAAGUUCAGACAGGAUUCAAAAGUAGGCUGAUAUAUAAAGACCUAUUAAAACUCAACACUAAGAAAA